ACUCCUACGGGAGGCAGCAGUAGGGAAUCUUCCACAAUGGACGAAAGUCUGAUGGAGCAACGCCGCGUGAGUGAAGAAGGGUUUCGGCUCGUAAAAACUCUGUUGUUAAAGAAGAACAUAUCUGAGAGUAACUGUUCAGGUAUUGACGGUAUUUAACCAGAAAGUCACGGCUAACUACGUGCCAGCAGCCGCGGUAAUACGUAGGUGGCAAGCGUUGUCCGGAUUUAUUGGGGCGUAAAGCGAGCGCAGGCGGUUUUUAAGUCUGAUGUGAAAGCCUUCGGCUCAACCGAAGAAGUGCAUCGGAAACUGGGAAACUUGAGUGCAGAAGGGGACAGUGGAACUCCAUGUGUAGCGGUGAAAUGCGUAGAUAUAUGGAAGAACACCAGUGGCGAAGGCGGCUGUCUGGCCUGUAACUGACGCUGAGGCUCGAAAGUAUGGGUAGCAAACA
This 448-nucleotide ribosomal RNA is filed under the name uncultured bacterium. RNAcentral's name for it is "bacterial SSU rRNA". It matches the Rfam family "Bacterial small subunit ribosomal RNA", at positions 335 to 774 of the family's 1533-position model. The record is from RNAcentral.